GAUGAACGCUGGCGGCGUGCCUAAUACAUGCAAGUCGAGCGAACAGAUGAGGAGCUUGCUCCUCUGACGUUAGCGGCGGACGGGUGAGUAACACGUGGAUAACCUACCUAUAAGACUGGGAUAACUUCGGGAAACCGGAGCUAAUACCGGAUAAUAUAUUGAACCGCAUGGUUCAAUAGUGAAAGACGGUUUUGCUGUCACUUAUAGAUGGAUCCGCGCCGCAUUAGCUAGUUGGUAAGGUAACGGCUUACCAAGGCAACGAUGCGUAGCCGACCUGAGAGGGUGAUCGGCCACACUGGAACUGAGACACGGUCCAGACUCCUACGGGAGGCAGCAGUAGGGAAUCGUCCGCAACGGGCGAAAGCCUGACGGAGCAACGCCGCGUGAGUGAUGAAGGUCUUCGGAUCGUAAAACUCUGUUAUUAGGGAAGAACAAAUGUGUAAGUAACUAUGCACGUCUUGACGGUACCUAAUCAGAAAGCCACGGCUAACUACGU
Molecule: ribosomal RNA, 496 nt
Filed under: uncultured bacterium
Lineage: Bacteria
Description: partial 16S ribosomal RNA
Rfam family: Bacterial small subunit ribosomal RNA
Source: RNAcentral